UUGAAAGGGAAACGAUUGAAGUCAGUCGUACCGGCGGGUAAUCAGCCUUUUGGGUGUGAUUAUGUGGAGCGUGGGGAGCUAAUCGCCUUCAUCUUUGCAUAUUCGUGCACUUUGGGUGUACUUGCUCGUGUGGUAGGUUAACAUCAAUUUUGAUCAUCAUAAAAUGAUUGAAGGAAUGUAGCUUCGAUCUCGUAUUGAAGUGUUAUAGCCUUUGGUAGAUGUGAUGAUCGGGAUUGAGGAUUGCAACGGAUACCCUUCGGGGCUACCCGUCUGAUCUCUGAAAGUUGCUCUGGUGCUGAAAGCUUGCUUAUGGUAUCAAAGUUGACGUUCAAUAGGUUAGAACGGGAUAAAUUCGUUAAGGAUGUUGACGUA
This 372-nucleotide ribosomal RNA is filed under the name uncultured Glomeromycotina. RNAcentral's name for it is "LSU rRNA". Lineage: Eukaryota; Fungi; Glomeromycota. The record is from RNAcentral.